RNAcentral lists this ribosomal RNA (503 nucleotides) under uncultured bacterium. RNAcentral's name for it is "partial 16S ribosomal RNA". It matches the Rfam family "Bacterial small subunit ribosomal RNA", at positions 30 to 523 of the family's 1533-position model. The record is from RNAcentral.
AUUGAACGCUGGCGGCGUGCUUAACACAUGCAAGUCGAGCGAGAAACCUUCGGGUUUCUAGCGGCGGACGGGUGAGUAACACGUGGGCAACCUGCCUAUCAGACUGGGAUAACUCCGGGAAACCGGGGCUAAUACUGGAUAACAUUUUGCACCGCAUGGUUCGAAAUUGAAAGGCCGCUUCGGCUGUCACUUAUAGUUGGACCUCGGGCGCAUUAGCUAGUUGGUGAGGUAACGGCUCACCAAGGCGACGAUGCGUAGCCGCCCUGAGAGGGUGAUCGGCCACACUGGGACUGAGACACGGCCCAGACUCCUACGGGAGGCAGCAGUAGGGAAUCUUCCGCAAUAGACGAAUGUCUGACGGAGCAACGCCGCGUGAGCGAUGAAGGCCUUCUGGUCGUAAAGCUCUGUUGUUAGGGAAGAACAAGCGCUAGUUGAAUAAGCUGGCACCUUGACGGUACCUAACCAGAAAGCCACGGCUAACUACGUGCCAGCCGCCGCGGUAA